UGCUAAAUAAUGUACAAAUUAAUAUCUUAUUCAUAGCACUUAUCAUAUUUUUAAUUCACAUAUUUUGUAAAUUUAAGUAAAAAAUAGUGAUACCUUCAUCAUUGCAUUUGAAUAAAUUAUUAAAGGUAAUUCGAGUUUUACUUAUUUACUGAUUAAGCUUAAUGUAUGCAGGUCGAGUCAAGCUUAAUUAGGUAAAGCCUAAACUGAUAAUGCAUCAUUUCACAAUUUUACAUCCUCCGGAGUCGACUCCAAGAACUCUUCUCCAAAACCCAGUGCUUCUCAUUAAUCCCUUCAAUUAUUUGUCUCUCAGAUCUCAAAGUAUACCAUCUAUAGUCACACGGAUCCCAAAGAAUUAUAACCAUUGGGCUCUUCCCAGCCAAAGGAAAUCACACAUUCAAAUCAAAUCUCCUC
This 411-nucleotide long non-coding RNA is filed under the name Phoenix dactylifera (date palm). RNAcentral's name for it is "long non-coding RNA (PDAC_LNC001807)". Lineage: Eukaryota; Viridiplantae; Streptophyta; Magnoliopsida; Arecales; Arecaceae. The record is from RNAcentral.